UUGAUUCGUUUUUGUUUUUUAGCUCAGACGGUUUGUUUGUUUUUGUUUAUAAAGAGUUCAGAGCGCUCGCCGCCGCCGGCGGGCCGCCACGGCAGUCCUCCUGGGAGGUCUGCCAGGCGGGGGCCGCCGGAGGCAACGAGAACAGAGAUUGGGUACGGUUCGCAAGGGUUGGGAGUUGUUUAAGAACUCGCUAAUGAUCCCUCCGCUGGUUCACCAACGGAGA
RNAcentral lists this unclassified non-coding RNA (223 nucleotides) under uncultured fungus. RNAcentral's name for it is "sequence contains ITS1". The record is from RNAcentral. Lineage: Eukaryota; Fungi.